AUAAACGACUCUCGGCAACGGAUAUCUCGGCUCACGCAUCGAUGAAGAACGUAGCAAAAUGCGAUACUUGGUGUGAAUUGCAGAAUCCCGUGAACCAUCGAGUUUUUGAACGCAAGUUGCGCCCGAAGCCAUUCGGCCGAGGGCACGUCUGCCUGGGUGUCACG
RNAcentral lists this ribosomal RNA (164 nucleotides) under Saussurea orgaadayi. Its description in RNAcentral is "5.8S ribosomal RNA". It matches the Rfam family "5.8S ribosomal RNA". From Rfam's summary of the family: 5.8S ribosomal RNA (5.8S rRNA) is a component of the large subunit of the eukaryotic ribosome. The record is from RNAcentral. Lineage: Eukaryota; Viridiplantae; Streptophyta; Magnoliopsida; Asterales; Asteraceae.